AUAAUUAUGGUGUUAGUGCACAUAUUUCUGUCAAAAAUAAAGUUAUUUUUAUAAUUAAU
RNAcentral lists this transfer RNA (59 nucleotides) under Romanomermis nielseni. RNAcentral's name for it is "tRNA-Asp". The record is from RNAcentral. Lineage: Eukaryota; Metazoa; Nematoda; Enoplea; Mermithida; Mermithidae.